CGUCACACUAUCAUUAACUGAAUCCAUAGGUUAAUGAGGCGAACCGGGGGAACUGAAACAUCUAAGUACCCCGAGGAAAAGAAAUCAACCGAGAUUCCCCCAGUAGCGGCGAGCGAACGGGGAGGAGCCCAGAGCCUGAAUCAGCAUGUGUGUUAGUGGAAGCGUCUGGAAAGGCGCGCGAUACAGGGUGACAGCCCCGUACACAAAAGCGCAUGUGCUGUGAGCUCGAUGAGUAGGGCGGGACACGUGGUAUCCUGUCUGAAUAUGGGGGGACCAUCCUCCAAGGCUAAAUACUCCUGACUGACCGAUAGUGAACCAGUACCGUGAGGGAAAGGCGAAAAGAACCCCGGCGAGGGGAGUGAAAAAGAACCUGAAACCGUGUACGUACAAGCAGUGGGAGCA
RNAcentral lists this ribosomal RNA (402 nucleotides) under Salmonella enterica subsp. enterica serovar Enteritidis. RNAcentral's name for it is "partial 23S ribosomal RNA". It matches the Rfam family "Bacterial large subunit ribosomal RNA", at positions 141 to 581 of the family's 2925-position model. Lineage: Bacteria; Pseudomonadati; Pseudomonadota; Gammaproteobacteria; Enterobacterales; Enterobacteriaceae. The record is from RNAcentral.